RNAcentral lists this ribosomal RNA (978 nucleotides) under uncultured bacterium. RNAcentral describes it as "bacterial SSU rRNA". It matches the Rfam family "Bacterial small subunit ribosomal RNA", at positions 504 to 1480 of the family's 1533-position model. The record is from RNAcentral.
UGUGCCAGCAGCCGCGGUGAUAAGAGGGGGAAAGCGUUAAUCGGAUUUACUGGGCGUAAAGCGCGCGUAGGUGGCCAAUUAAGUCAAAUGUGAAAUCCCCGAGCUUAACUUGGGAAUUGCAUUCGAUACUGGUUGGCUAGAGUAUGGGAGAGGAUGGUAGAAUUUCCAGGUGUAGCGGUGAAAUGCGUAGAGAUCUGGAGGAAUACCGAUGGCGAAGGCAGCCAUCUGGCCUAAUACUGACACUGAGGUGCGAAAGCAUGGGGAGCAAACAGGAUUAGAUACCCUGGUAGUCCAUGCCGUAAACGAUGUCUACUAGCCGUUGGGGCCUUUGAGGCUUUAGUGGCGCAGCUAACGCGAUAAGUAGACCGCCUGGGGAGUACGGUCGCAAGACUAAAACUCAAAUGAAUUGACGGGGGCCCGCACAAGCGGUGGAGCAUGUGGUUUAAUUCGAUGCAACGCGAAGAACCUUACCUGGUCUUGACAUAGUAAGAACUUUCCAGAGAUGGAUUGGUGCCUUCGGGAACUUACAUACAGGUGCUGCAUGGCUGUCGUCAGCUCGUGUCGUGAGAUGUUGGGUUAAGUCCCGCAACGAGCGCAACCCUUUUCCUUAUUUGCCAGCGGGUUAAGCCGGGAACUCUAAGGAUACUGCCAGUGACAAACUGGAGGAAAGCGGGGACGACAUCAAGUCAUCAUGGCCCUUACGACCAAGGCUACACACGUGCUACAAUGGUAGGUACAAAGGGCAGCUACACAGCGAUGUGAUGCGAAUCUCAAAAAGCCUAUCGUAGUCCAGAUUGGAGUCUGCAACUCGACUCCAUGAAGUAGGAAUCGCUAGUAAUCGCGGAUCAGAAUGCCGCGGUGAAUACGUUCCCGGGCCUUGUACACACCGCCCGUCACACCAUGGGAGUUGAUUGCACCAGAAGUGGGUAGCCUAACCUUUUAGGAUGGCGCUCACCACGGUGUGGUUGAUGACUGGGG